AUAGGUAUGGUGAAGUGGCUAUCAUUCGCGCUUGCCAUGCGUGAGGCAGGGGUUCAAUUCCCCUUACCUAUA
This 72-nucleotide transfer RNA is filed under the name Mrakia frigida. RNAcentral describes it as "tRNA-Gly (GCC) (tRNA-Gly-GCC-1-1)". It matches the Rfam family "tRNA". From Rfam's summary of the family: Transfer RNA (tRNA) molecules are approximately 80 nucleotides in length. Lineage: Eukaryota; Fungi; Basidiomycota; Tremellomycetes; Cystofilobasidiales; Mrakiaceae. The record is from RNAcentral.